RNAcentral lists this ribosomal RNA (479 nucleotides) under uncultured bacterium. RNAcentral describes it as "partial 16S ribosomal RNA". It matches the Rfam family "Bacterial small subunit ribosomal RNA", at positions 28 to 507 of the family's 1533-position model. The record is from RNAcentral.
GAUGAACGCUGGCGGCGUGCUUAACACAUGCAAGUCGAGCGGGAAGUUUUGAACAGAUUCUUCGGAUGCAAUUUAAAAUGGAAAGCGGCGGACGGGUGAGUAACGCGUAGGCAACCUGCCCCAUACAAAGGGAUAGCAUUUGGAAACGAAUAUUAAUACCUUAUGAAACUUAACUAGUGCAUGCUAGGUAGGUCAAAGAUUUAUCGGUAUGGGAUGGGCCUGCGUCUGAUUAGCUAGUUGGUGAGGUAACGGCUCACCAAGGCGACAAUCAGUAGCCGACCUGAGAGGGUGAACGGCCACAUUGGAACUGAGACACGGUCCAAACUCCUACGGGAGGCAGCAGUGGGGAAUAUUGCACAAUGGGGGAAACCCUGAUGCAGCAACGCCGCGUGAACGAUGAAGGCCUUUGGGUCGUAAAGUUCUGUUCUAGGCGAUGAAAACUGACAGUAACCUAGGAGAAAGCCCCGGCUAACUCCGUG